AUCGCUUCUCGGCCUUUUGGCUAAGAUCAAAGUUUAGUUUCUGUUCUUAUCGAAUUAACCUUCGAUAGAGAUUCGAAUGAGUCUCGUUAAGGUUAUUUGAUUUUUGGGACCGGAUGGGGUCGCGGGCUUGCUCGCACCCCAUCCGGUCCCAAAAAUCAGGGAGGAACAAACAUG
RNAcentral lists this small nuclear RNA (174 nucleotides) under Ancylostoma ceylanicum. Its description in RNAcentral is "U2 spliceosomal RNA". It matches the Rfam family "U2 spliceosomal RNA". Rfam says of the family: U2 is a small nuclear RNA (snRNA) component of the spliceosome (involved in pre-mRNA splicing). Complementary binding between U2 snRNA (in an area lying towards the 5' end but 3' to hairpin I) and the branchpoint sequence (BPS) of the intron results the bulging out of an unpaired adenosine, on the BPS, which initiates a nucleophilic attack at the intronic 5' splice site, thus starting the first of two transesterification reactions that mediate splicing. Lineage: Eukaryota; Metazoa; Nematoda; Chromadorea; Rhabditida; Ancylostomatidae. The record is from Rfam by way of RNAcentral.